GUUAUCCGGAUUUACUGGGUGUAAAGGGAGCGUAGACGGCACUGCAAGUCUGGAGUGAAACGGCCCGGGGCUCAACCCCCGGGGACUGCUUUGGAAACUGUGGUGCUAGAGUGCAGGAGAGGUAAGUGGAAUUCCUAGUGUAGCGGUGAAAUGCGUAGAUAUUAGGAGGAACACCAGUGGCGAAGGCGGCUUACUGGACUGUAACUGACGUUGAGGCUCGAAAGCGUGGGGAGC
Molecule: ribosomal RNA, 234 nt
Filed under: uncultured bacterium
Lineage: Bacteria
Description: partial 16S ribosomal RNA
Rfam family: Bacterial small subunit ribosomal RNA
Source: RNAcentral